CCCAUAGCUACGCCCCGAGGGGGGCGCCCACCUGCCGGCGGGCCGGCCUCCGUGACGGCCUUGCCCAGGCCCGGCCCCCCCGGCCAGCCGGGCCCUAAUGGUCGCCCGGGUCCCCGUCCUCUCACUCGUAUGCUGGGGAGCAGAUAGACAAGAAACCACAGAUGGUCAAAGAAGGAAGCUUUUGGAGAGAAGAGACAUCACCAUGGUCUAUUGGAAGAGAAAACUUUGUGUAAUGUCCCAUUAAAGAGAUUGAACGAGGCAGAGAUCAUCCAGAACAGAUUUCAGAUUACCUUUUCAGACUUGUUUUGGGUUGUUUUAUUUAGGAUGGUUUAUAAAUAAUACAAGCUUCUAUGUUUGAAAUACAUAUGGACGUAUCUCACCACCACUGUCUUCACAAGCAUGGUUUAUUUUAUACACAGAUGAAAUGGAAUCUAUAUAAAGAAAAAAAACAAAAAAGAGAGGUGGUUUGUGUUUGUCUAAAUGCAGGGCUAAUGUUGAAACACAUUUUGUUUCUUUCUCACUGACACUUGGAACUGGCCCAAAGUCCUCAAGCCUUGGCAAAGCAGACACUGUUCUACAGAUAAAAACCUAAUUAAACUGAGUGCUACCUGUGGCAAGGCCGUUUAGAAAUUCAUAGAGUUCAAGCAACCAAAA
Pezoporus flaviventris is the source of this 654-nucleotide long non-coding RNA. RefSeq lists it as uncharacterized. The transcript has 3 exons. Lineage: Eukaryota; Metazoa; Chordata; Aves; Psittaciformes; Psittacidae. The record is from RefSeq and is a predicted model, not a curated record.